GAUAUUGGGCGUAAGCGUCCGCAGGCGGUCUUGAAAGUCUGUUGUUAAAGCGUGGAGCUCAACUCCWUUUCWGCAAUGGAAACUAGAAGACUAUAGUGUGGUAGGGGCARASGGAAUUCCCGGUGUARCGGUGAAAUGCGUAGAUAUCGGGAAGAACACCGGUGGSSAAGGCGCUCUGCUGGGCCAUAACUGACGCUCAUGGACGAAAGCCAKGGGAGCGAAAGGGAUUAGAUACCCCUGUAGUCCUGGCCGUAAACGAUGAACACUAGGUGUCGGGGGAAUCGACCCCCUCGGUGUCGUAACCAACGCGUUAAGUGUUCCGCCUGGGGAGUACGCACGCAAGUGUGAAACUCARAGGAAUUGGCGGGGGACAACAA
RNAcentral lists this ribosomal RNA (377 nucleotides) under uncultured bacterium. RNAcentral describes it as "partial 16S ribosomal RNA". It matches the Rfam family "Bacterial small subunit ribosomal RNA", at positions 547 to 926 of the family's 1533-position model. The record is from RNAcentral.